UAACACGGGGGGGGCGAGCGUUGUCCGGAAUCACUGGGCGUAAAGGGCGCGUAGGCGGGAUGGCAAGUCGGAGGUGAAAAUCCCGGGCUUAACCUGGGACUUGCCCUCGAAACUGCUGUUCUUGAGUGCGGGAGAGGGAGGUGGAAUUCCUGGUGUAGCGGUGAAAUGCGUAGAUAUCAGGAAGAACACCGGUAGCGAAGGCGGCCUCCUGGCCCGUCACUGACGCUGAGGCGCGAAAGCGUGGGGAGCAAACAGGAUUAGAUACCCUGGUAGUCCACGCUGUAACGAUGGGUGCUAGGUGUUGGUUCGUCAGAAUCAGUGCCGCAGCUAACGCAUUAAGCACCCCGCCUGGGGAGUACGGCCGCAAGGUUG
RNAcentral lists this ribosomal RNA (372 nucleotides) under uncultured bacterium. RNAcentral describes it as "bacterial SSU rRNA". It matches the Rfam family "Bacterial small subunit ribosomal RNA", at positions 521 to 896 of the family's 1533-position model. The record is from RNAcentral.